RNAcentral lists this ribosomal RNA (424 nucleotides) under uncultured bacterium. RNAcentral describes it as "partial 16S ribosomal RNA". It matches the Rfam family "Bacterial small subunit ribosomal RNA", at positions 354 to 795 of the family's 1533-position model. The record is from RNAcentral.
GUGGGGAAUAUUGGACAAUGGGCGCAAGCCUGAUCCAGCCAUGCCGCGUGAGUGAUGAAGGCCUUAGGGUUGUAAAGCUCUUUCACCGAUGAAGAUAAUGACGGUAGUCGGAGAAGAAGCCCCGGCUAACUUCGUGCCAGCAGCCGCGGUAAUACGAAGGGGGCUAGCGUUGUUCGGAUUUACUGGGCGUAAAGCGCACGUAGGCGGUUUGUUAAGUCAGGGGUGAAAUCCCGGAGCUCAACUCCGGAACUGCCUUUGAUACUGGCAAGCUAGAGUCCGGAAGAGGUAAGUGGAACUCCUAGUGUAGAGGUGGAAUUCGUAGAUAUUAGGAAGAACACCAGUGGCGAAGGCGGCUUACUGGUCCGGAACUGACGCUGAGGUGCGAAAGCGUGGGGAGCAAACAGGAUUAGAAACCCUAGUAGUC